Molecule: ribosomal RNA, 438 nt
Filed under: uncultured beta proteobacterium
Lineage: Bacteria; Pseudomonadati; Pseudomonadota; Betaproteobacteria
Description: bacterial SSU rRNA
Rfam family: Bacterial small subunit ribosomal RNA
Source: RNAcentral
GGCGAACGGGUGAGUAAUACAUCGGAACAUGUCCUGUAAUGGGGGAUAGCCCGGCGAAAGCCGGAUUAAUACCGCAUACGAUCUAUGGAUGAAAGCGGGGGACCUUCGGGCCUCGAGACUAUAAGGUUGGCCGAUGGCUGAUUAACUAGUUGGUGGGGUAAAGGCCUACCAAGGCGACGAUCAGUAGCUGGUCUGAGAGGACGACCAGCCACACUGGGACUGAGACACGGGCCAGACUCCUACGGCGAGGCAGCAGUGGGGAAUUUUGGACAAUGGGCGAAAGCCUGAUCCAGCAAUGCCGCGUGUGUGAAGAAGGCCUUCGGGUUGUAAAGCACUUUAGUCCGGAAAGGAAAUCCUUGGUUCUAAUAUAGCCGGGGGAUGACGGUACCGGAAGAAUAAGCACCGGCUAACUACGUGCCAGCAGCCGCGGUAAUACGU